RNAcentral lists this ribosomal RNA (468 nucleotides) under uncultured bacterium. RNAcentral describes it as "partial 16S ribosomal RNA". It matches the Rfam family "Bacterial small subunit ribosomal RNA", at positions 28 to 507 of the family's 1533-position model. The record is from RNAcentral.
GACGAACGCUGGCGGCGUGCUUAACACAUGCAAGUCGAACGGAAAGGCCCUGCUUUUGUGGGGUGCUCGAGUGGCGAACGGGUGAGUAACACGUGAGUAACCUGCCCUUGACUUUGGGAUAACUUCAGGAAACUGGGGCUAAUACCGGAUAGGCGCUCCUGCUGCAUGGUGGGGGUUGGAAAGUUUCGGCGGUUGGGGAUGGACUCGCGGCUUAUCAGCUUGUUGGUGGGGUAGUGGCUUACCAAGGCUUUGACGGGUAGCCGGCCUGAGAGGGUGACCGGCCAAAUUGGGACUGAGAUACGGCCCGGCCUCCUACGGGAGGCAGCAGUGGGGAAUAUUGCACAAUGGGCGGAAGCCUGAUGCAGCAACGCCGCGUGCGGGAUGACGGCCUUCGGGUUGUAAACCGCUUUCGCCUGGGACGAAGCGUGAGUGACGGUAAUGGGUAAAGAAGCACCGGCUAACUACGUG